Molecule: non-coding RNA, 32 nt
Filed under: Homo sapiens (human)
Lineage: Eukaryota; Metazoa; Chordata; Mammalia; Primates; Hominidae
Source: RNAcentral
UCUCUGUGGGACCCACUGGGCCUCCUCCACGC